This is a long non-coding RNA of Pecten maximus, 2175 nucleotides long. RefSeq lists it as uncharacterized. Lineage: Eukaryota; Metazoa; Mollusca; Bivalvia; Pectinida; Pectinidae. The record is from RefSeq and is a predicted model, not a curated record. The transcript has 5 exons.
UAUUAUUACUCAGCAGUAAAUAAAUUAUACCGGUAACGAUCGAUGGGCGAGUCGUCCUGAUCAGCCAGCGUUGAAAUUGUACUGACGAUACCGGCUGGCCGAGUCGUCCUGCCCAGCAUUGUAGGAGUGCGAGGAUAUCGGAAAGAGCUUCAGUAUUAUAGUGUAUGUACGAGCCGUGCGCUAUCACCCCUCGUGUACAACCUUAUAAUGUAGAUACCGUCUCGUGUGCACCGCAAAUACAUGAUAAAAGAUAACAUGGAAUUCAUCGCUGAGUGUCUAUUUCGGAUUUUCAUAAUAGCAUCCUUACUGUGGUACCAAGUCUACGCCGCCGACCCUAAAGACAGCAAAGUCAAUCAAGAAAGUUUUUUUUCCAUUGCCGCCAUAGCUGGUAUUGUGAUUGGGUCCUUAGUUGGCGCAAUUACUCUGAUAGCGGCCACGUGCUGUAUCGUCUGCUACUGUGUGGUGAAGCGGAAAGAGGAUUCCAACCUUGUUUGACCAAUAAGUGCUCGAAAGUUCACAAAGUGCCAUUGAAAGUCCAGUCGUCAUUGUUUCUAUGGCAACAAUGGCAAGCGCCAGAUUUAGAGAUUGUAAUAACAAUGUUUCAUUAAAUACAACCUGUUGGAAUUUGCCAAACGCCGAAAGCAGAAAACGGUUAUCUGAUUACUAAGACGACACACAACCGGAAGUUAACGAGAGCAGGGUCGGGCUACCGACAUGUUGUCAGUAUGAAAACGAGGCAUCGGAAACUGACGAGAUGCGGUUAUAGGAGACUCCGGUUCGUCACCGAUGGAGGUUUUCCCGUGGAAUAUUACGCACGUGCUGUUGGAACCAUAUUACCAAUGUUUCGUGCUUGUGCUGAAAGCUGAUUGAACCAAUCCAAUGGAUUUGUAGUAUUGUGAAAAGAUUACAAAUUUAAUAUUAUUGAUCUUGUGCGUUGUGAAUAUUAAGAAUCUACAAUCCCGUCAAUGUGAAAAUAAACUAAAACAAACUUCGCUGGCAUAUAAUCCAUGUGUGUGGUAUUAAAUGUGGUAAUUACAUGACACAAAAACAAUACGGGAAGGCGAUGGCGCCGGUGAUUGUGUAUGUACGUCCAAUGUGCAGAUGUCUAAUAUAUACUUAUAUGACUAUUCUGAAAGUGGAAGCAAGCUUAAAAUUGCAAUACAAUUCACGCACCGAAAAUGUAAUGUUCACUUAAUCAAUAAUACACUAGUUCUUCAUUUAUUUUUUGCUGAAUACUUAUGCAAACAUUUUGAAAUUGUGUCGACGUCCUUACGACAAGAUAAACGUUUUAUCAGUUUUGAUUAUAUUUCAACAAACAUCGUGUGCAUACCAAAUGCAGCGUGUUAUCAUCAUUCAUACCAUUCCUGGUACAGUUGGCAACCCAAAAUGUGUGCUAUUGUACAAUUAUAGCCUUCUUCUAAUGUCAAUAGGCGGAUUUAUUAACACGAGAAAAAUAUAUAACCGAUGACAAAAUCUUAGGUUUUUAUACUUAUUUUUCUCAUGGUAAUUAAUCCGCGUAUCUGUUCUGUGUGUAAUAUAGUACUGUUAUGUUGUAUGGAAGACAUUGAGUUACAAAACUUAAGUUGCAAAACUAUUUCAAAUUACAUACAAAGUAAAUUCUUAAUAGUUAUCAACAUAUCAGCUUCGAGUGAUAAAAAUGCCCCAAUUAACACAGUGGUAUGGGACAUUCGCUUAGUGAGGCAGUAAUGUAAACUUAGUUUGCGUUCAAAUGAUUGGAGGAGAUCGUCGUUAUAUCAUGGCAGACAUGUUUGGAUACGAUAAUAUCUUUUUUGAAGCGACAGCAAAUUGACUUGUUAAAAUCAAUUGGUUUUUUAAAUCAAUCAAAAAAACACAAUAAAAAAUAUAUAAUCUGCAGAAUAUAAUGACAGAAAAGAUGCAAUUAAAUGUAUUUAGUAUAAAACGGUCAAAGAAAAGCUUUUAUGCGUAACAUGAAUUGAUUUGAUUACUUGAUCUAAACAUUGAUAAAUAUAUUCGGUGGGUACUCUCCGUCUUCCAUACUUUUUCGUGUCGUUGUUUGUUAAUAUUUAAAUGAAACAUGAGGUCACAUACGUCAUUAUUUUAUGUGCACAAAUCUGUAAAUGUAGACACGGUGUUUUAGUUCGGUAUUAUAACAGUAUAUAGCUAAUGUAUCAAAUAAAAUGAUAACGAAUCAUU